GAGUUGCACUCGUUUCAGCAACAGCUGACGUGGACGUAGAAGACGAUGACUUUCCGGACGGCAGCGGGGAAUCCCCAGCGUCUGAUGGAGGCAGCUCAGCGUUGGACUCAGAUGGACUCGUUUUUCUGUGUUCUCUGCUCACAUGGAUAUUUGCAUGAAGAAUGAUCGACUCGUCGGGCUGUUUGGAUUUGGACCCACCUGAGACCGACCCGGCUCUCAACAGACUCUGUUUAUCUUUAAUAGACCGACAUGUGCAGUAAAAGCACCAGAAUAAAGAAUGUAUGAAGGUCGUGCUCUGUUCAGCUGUAACUAAUGUUUUAUUUAUUUAGUUUCCUGUUUGUCAUAGUCAAAAUCAACCUCUUCACUGUCUGUCACAUGUCAGCGUGUUGUCAUUAAAUAGUUCUUCAAUCAACCAGUGUCCACUAUAAUAGUAGCCUGCUUUUAAUAAUACAACACCAGAAGCAGCGUGCUGCUGAUGUGACAGUUUGCUCUGGAUGUGGUUAAACAGUUCCUGUUCUGUGACGUGAGCUCAGACGCUGUGACAGACGACAGAACGGUGGUUGGAGGAGAUCACAGAGAGGCAGGAGCUGGAGGCCAUGACCAGGGUUCAUGUGCUCAUCGGUGCUGCUGUAUAUGAUGCUGAUUCAUUGCCUGGCAGUGGUGAUGGAUACCACAACCACAACCCCACAGAUCCCUCAGAUCACGGCUCGUGCUCCUCCUCAGCUGCCACGGACAACAGCAUUAUCAGCUACAGGCUGCUCUACGUCACUACGGCCAUCUGCGCGUGGCAUAUUAAUUACAACAAACGUAGUGGUGUCACCAAGAAGACAAAAUCUGAAACGUCACCGUAUCCACAAAUUAAAGCUCUGAUUAAACUUUAAAGUUGAACGAGUAAAAGGUUUGAUUGAACCUUCAAUAAAAUCUGCACACUCACAUACUCGUACA
RNAcentral lists this long non-coding RNA (945 nucleotides) under Betta splendens (Siamese fighting fish). Its description in RNAcentral is "lncRNA (ENSBSLG00000000655.1)". The record is from RNAcentral. Lineage: Eukaryota; Metazoa; Chordata; Actinopteri; Anabantiformes; Osphronemidae.